Long non-coding RNA from Crotalus tigris (Tiger rattlesnake), 304 nucleotides. RefSeq lists it as uncharacterized. The record is from RefSeq and is a predicted model, not a curated record. Lineage: Eukaryota; Metazoa; Chordata; Lepidosauria; Squamata; Viperidae. The transcript is spliced from 4 exons.
GAGGACUUGAAGCUCGCAAACUGCCAAGAAGCUUCGGGAACCGAGGGAAGCGUCGGGAAGCAACAGCUGGGAGAGCUAGGCGUCGAGAAACCUGGAGGCGGAUAUCCAUGACUGACAUCGUGUUUGGGGGGGCAGAAUGUCAAGCCCACCAACAUGUCCUGCCAUUGUGCUGGAGAGACUCAAGAAGAUGUAAAAGAACAAUUGGAUGUGUAGCUACUACCUGAAGCUGAACAUCAAGAUCACCCUCUUGGUUAUAAGGUGGAUCUAUCUUAUUUUUAAGGGGGCAGGAUGUCAGAAUCCAAUU